UGGGGAAUAUUGCACAAUGGGCGAAAGCCUGAUGCAGCAACGCCGCGUGAGUGAUGAAGGCCUUCGGGUUGUAAAGCUCUGUCUUUUGGGACGAUAAUGACGGUACCAAAGGAGGAAGCCACGGCUAACUACGUGCCAGCAGCCGCGGUAAUACGUAGGUGGCAAGCGUUGUCCGGAUUUACUGGGCGUAAAGGAUGCGUAGGCGGAUUUUUAAGUGAGAUGUGAAAUACCCGGGCUUAACUUGGGUGCUGCAUUUCAAACUGGGAAUCUAGAGUGCGGGAGAGGAGAAUGGAAUUCCUAGUGUAGCGGUGAAAUGCGUAGAGAUUAGGAAGAACACCAGUGGCGAAGGCGAUUCUCUGGACCGUAACUGACGCUGAGGCAUGAAAGCGUGGGUAGCAAACAGGAUUAGAUACCCUGGUGGUCCACGCCGUAAACGAUGAGUACUAGGUGUAGGAGGUAUCGACCCCUUCUGUGCCGCAGUUAACACAAUAAGUACUCCGCCUGGGAAGUACGAUCGCAAGAUUAAAACUCAAAUGAAUUGACGGGGUC
Molecule: ribosomal RNA, 549 nt
Filed under: uncultured bacterium
Lineage: Bacteria
Description: partial 16S ribosomal RNA
Rfam family: Bacterial small subunit ribosomal RNA
Source: RNAcentral